UUGGCACUGAGAGGGCCACGGGGCUUGCCCGGAGCAUCGCUGUGGGCCAUCGCGGCCUGGUGGCCUCACCAAGCCAGAGGCUUUCCCUGCCCCCAGGCCUGGCACUAAUGGGCUCAGGCAGCCAGGAAGGCCAUGGGCUUGGCCCCGUCACUGACACACGUGCAUUGAAAGGAGACCCUGAACAGGGACGUGGAGGCAACUACCGUCUACUUCAGCAAUGACGUGAAGGCCACAGCCACGAGCCUCUCCUGUAUGCUGCAUGACGAAAAGGAGCAGGGAAGGGCAGUGCUUUACCAAGACUAAACUGUACCCAAAUCUGUGACUACUGUCAGGAGGUGGGAAGAGGAAGAAACAGCCCAUGCGGUCAGCCCUGGAAAGGGCCGUUCAUGCUGAGAACUGGCUGGGGAACAUUCCCAUUUUCAUAACCAGCAACAGCUAUCAAAAGGGGAAAGAAGAGUGAUUCUGGACCCCGCCAGCAGCACCUCCCAUCUGCAGCCAGGAUGGGAGAGCCGCAGAGUGCUCCCGGCACAGCCCUCUGGCCCCGCAGCGAGGAAAACGUGUGUCAUUUUCCAGAGGGCUGAGCCAGCACUAACCAGGUGGGAAAUGUAUGAGCAUCUCUCUUGGAAAAUCAGCUUGAUCAGGGUUCCCUUGUCUCAGACAAGAUAUUUCCCCAGCCUGACCUUGGUUGCCAAACCACUGUCCUCAGUCUGGUUCAGUCCAGAGCUGCUCCCCCAGUUCUCUCUGCAGCAGAACAAGGUGGGCAAGGGGAGAGGGGAGCUGCAGUUUGGUGCGUCCUUCAUUCCUGGGCCAGCAUGGAAAGGUAAAUGGGCCUUGUUCUGCUGGGUUUGCCGCUGACCCACCCCUUCUGUCCCGCAGCCUGAUGCCAUGACCACAGGCCCAUUCUUUCUACCAUCUCUUCAAGCAGACCCCACCUUUACCACAGCCAGGAAAUUUCUUUUCUCCCUCCUUCCUCUCCCUCACCCCACCACCGUGAGAAACCUUCUUCCCUCUCUGGGGCUGAUGCCAUCUGUGGGUUGCCUUAGCCAGUGUUUAAGCAAACUAGCCCCUGUGCUGUCUGAGGAGGCUGUGCUGUGUGCAGCAGAAAAUUGAGUAAGAGGUUUCUUGGGGCAAUCGGCAUGCACCGAGACCUCAAAUGCUUCUCUGAAAUCAGGCCCUGCUGUUGCUCCAUAGCAUCCUUCUAACAGGGAGGUAGCAGCUAUGACUGUCUCUCAUCUGCCCAGCCCUGCCCUCUCUGAUCCAGGCUGUCAUCCCAGUUGCCCUGAGCACCAGGAAAAGUCCAGUGCCUGCCACUGAAACAGCAGCAGUGGCUGCCAAGUGCCUCCCAGCUGUCUCCGAGUUACAGGAUCCCUCCCCAGCAUAAGCCCUGCAGUCUCUCAGGGGGCAACUGCUGGCAAUAACAGCCCUAUUUAAACAAAGCAGAGACAGCCUGACUUUACAUGGCCUCCCUCUGCCUUUCCCUGCCCCCCUGCUGUCACGCAUAUUUGGGGAAAAGCCUCUCAAGUCAUCGCUGACUCCUGCACUUCCCACUGUACGUGCAGCUCAGCCACAGCAACAUGCUGGGGUUCACGUAGCUCUGCGUCCUGUUCCAGCUAUUCCCACCCUCCUUCUGUGGAUUCACAGCCCAGCACCCAGGGGUGCUGCCCAUCCCCAGACACGUAAGAACAGUGCUCUCAGCGUGGGAUGAGCACCAAAAUUGCAGCUGGAGAACCUGGCAGUGGACAUGGAGCAGAGCCCUGUCCCCGGGCUGAGGACCAAGAAUGCCUCUUUCCCAUCCAACAAGCCAAGACUUUGAGCCCUGCCAAACCCCAGUGUUUGUUCCUGCAUUUGGCAAGCAAGAGAUGGCAACAAAAGCAUGUGUGAGGCAGAAAGAGGAGUUCCAGUGAAGGAGGGAAG
Molecule: long non-coding RNA, 1914 nt
Organism: Egretta garzetta (little egret)
Lineage: Eukaryota; Metazoa; Chordata; Aves; Pelecaniformes; Ardeidae
Exons: 3
Source: RefSeq, a predicted model, not a curated record